CACCUCUCCAGGGUAGUUAAAUGUGUGAUGUCAGCUCUCCAGGGUAGUUAAAUGUGUGAUGUCACCUCUCCAGGGUAGUUAAAUGUGUGAUGUCACCUCUCCAGGGUAGUUAAAUGUGUGAUGUCAUCUGUCCAGGGUAGUUAAAUGUGUGAUGUCACCUCUCCAGGGUAGUUAAAUGUGUGAUGUCAUCUCUCCAGGGUAGUUACAUGUGUGAUGUCAUCUCUCCAGGGUAGUUUAAUGUGUGAUGUCACCUCUCCAGGGUAGUUACAUGUGUGAUGUCAUCUCUCCAGGGUAGUUAAAUGUGUGAUGUCACCUCUCCAGGGUAGUUAAAUGUGUGAUGUCAGCUCUCCAGGGUAGUUACAUGUGUCUAACUCAGGUGAUGUUUAUACUGUAUCUAACUCAGGUGAUGUUUAUACUGUAUCUAACAGGUGAUGGUUAUACUGUGUCUAACAGGUGAUGGUUAUACUGUAUCUAACUCAGGUGAUGGUUAUACUGUAUCUAACUCAGGUGAUGUUUAUACUGUAUCUAACUCAGGUGAUGUAUAUACUGUAUCUAACUCAGGUGAUGUUUAUACUGUAUCUAACAGGUGAUGGUUAUACUGCGAAAACACAAUAAGGCAUAAAGAGAGGGAGACGAGGAGCCACUGAGCUGAAUGACCUGAUAGCCAAUAGCAGCCCUGUAACGGCAAGGAGCCACUGAGCUGAACGACCUGAUAGCCAAUAGCAG
This is a long non-coding RNA of Oncorhynchus tshawytscha (Chinook salmon), 726 nucleotides long. NCBI's taxonomy places the organism in Eukaryota, Metazoa, Chordata, Actinopteri, Salmoniformes, Salmonidae. The record is from Ensembl.